AGAGUUUGAUCCUGGCUCAGAACGAACGCUGGCGGCAGGCUUAACACAUGCAAGUCGAGCGCCUCGCAAGAGGAGCGGCAGACGGGUGAGUAACGCGUGGGAAUCUACCUUUUGCUACGGAAUAACUCAGGGAAACUUGAGCUAAUACCGUAUGUGCCCUUUGGGGGGAAAGAUUUAUCGGCAAAGGAUGAGCCCGCGUUGGAUUAGGUAGUUGGUGGGGUAAUGGCCUACCAAGCCGACGAUCCAUAGCUGGUCUGAGAGGAUGAUCAGCCACAUUGGGACUGAGACACGGCCCAAACUCCUACGGGAGGCAGCAGUGGGGAAUAUUGGACAAUGGGCGCAAGCCUGAUCCAGCCAUGCCGCGUGAGUGAUGAAGGCCCUAGGGUUGUAAAGCUCUUUCACCGGUGAAGAUAAUGACGGUAACCGGAGAAGAAGCCCCGGCUAACUUCGUGCCAGCAGCCGCGGUAAUACGAAGGGGGCUAGCGUUGUUCGGAAUUACUGGGCGUAAAGCGCACGUAGGCGGACAUUUAAGUCAGGGGUGAAAUCCCGGGGCUCAACCCCGGAACUGCCUUUGAUACUGGGUGUCUUGAGUUCGAGAGAGGUGAGUGGAAUUCCGAGUGUAGAGGUGAAAUUCGUAGAUAUUCGGAGGAACACCAGUGGCGAAGGCGGCUCACUGGCUCGAUACUGACGCUGAGGUGCGAAAGCGUGGGGAGCAAACAGGAUUAGAUACCCUAGUAGUCC
This 741-nucleotide ribosomal RNA is filed under the name uncultured bacterium. Its description in RNAcentral is "bacterial SSU rRNA". It matches the Rfam family "Bacterial small subunit ribosomal RNA", at positions 8 to 796 of the family's 1533-position model. The record is from RNAcentral.